UAAAAUACUAGCUGGAGGAAU
RNAcentral lists this non-coding RNA (21 nucleotides) under Caenorhabditis elegans. Lineage: Eukaryota; Metazoa; Nematoda; Chromadorea; Rhabditida; Rhabditidae. The record is from RNAcentral.